GAUGAACGCUGGCGGCGUGCCUAAUACAUGCAAGCCGAGCGAAUGGAUUAAGAGCUUGCUCUUAUGAAGUUAGCGGCGGACGGGUGAGUAACACGUGGGUAACCUGCCCAUAAGACUGGGAUAACUCCGGGAAACCGGGGCUAAUACCGGAUAACAUUUUGAACCGCAUGGUUCGAAAUUGAAAGGCGGCUUCGGCUGUCACUUAUGGAUGGACCCGCGUCGCGUUAGCUAGUUGGUGAGGUAACGGCUCACCAAGGCAACGAUGCGUAGCCGACCUGAGGGGGUGGGCGGCCACACUGGGACUGAGACACUGCCCAGACACCUACGGGAGGCAGCAGUAGGGAAUCUUCCGCAAUGGACGAAAGUCUGACGGGGCACCGCCGCGUGAGUGAGGAAGGCUUUCGGGUCGUAAAACUCUGUUGUUAGGGAAGAACAAGUGCUAGUUGAAUAAGCUGGCACCUUGACGGUACCUAACCAGAAAGCCACGGCUAACUACGUGCCAGCCGCCGCAGUAA
This 515-nucleotide ribosomal RNA is filed under the name uncultured bacterium. Its description in RNAcentral is "partial 16S ribosomal RNA". It matches the Rfam family "Bacterial small subunit ribosomal RNA", at positions 28 to 523 of the family's 1533-position model. The record is from RNAcentral.